Canis lupus familiaris (dog) is the source of this 1056-nucleotide long non-coding RNA. RefSeq lists it as uncharacterized. Lineage: Eukaryota; Metazoa; Chordata; Mammalia; Carnivora; Canidae. The transcript has 5 exons. The record is from RefSeq and is a predicted model, not a curated record.
GGUUCUCAACCCCUUUCUGGAGUGGUUGUCUCCCCAGGGGUGGGGGUGGGGCUGCAGCCAAGGGCCUGAGGCCAGGGACGCCGCCAAACAUCCCACAACACACAGUGCGGCCCCCGCCAGAAAGAACAGCCAGCCCAAAUGUCAAUGGUGUGGUUGGGAAACGCCACUCUACUGGAAAGAUGAAUGUUCCAGAAUGUUCCAGAAACACAGACUGGCCUCCUAUCACCCGGAGACUGCUUGGCCUCGUGACCCCAGGAGUUGGCAGUCCCGGCUCCCCGAGCGCAAGCCUUUUCAGGAGGCGCUCAGAGUGACGAGGCGAUUCAGCUGUUACCUGCACAGACGUCCCUGAAAGCCCAAGACAAAGCUGAGUCUCCCGGCCAACCUCACAUUUGCUGACCCUGCGCUCAAGGACCACAGGCCUCGAGGGGUGGCUCUUGAACUGGGAGGAUUUAAACCACAUAAGGAAAGUAUUAAACCCAAAGAAUGCAAUCAUCUUGUCCCAUUGGAGACACCCCGUCGAUAUUUGUACGCAGAUAAAUCAUGCGUUGGCCAGAAGGAUGGGUAAGGGUGGGAAGCAACGAUAAAUCAUCGUGUAUUUCUCCUUAACCCUUGUGUUCUUGAGCAAACUGUCUCCCCAGGCUCUGUCACCAGCAUUGGCAGCUGAGGCAGCAAAUCCCAGCCUUCUUUCCAGGGCUUCUGUGUAAGCUCUGCUGGAACUUCUAAAUGCCCGGGUGUGCAACCCUGAUCACAGGACAGCUGCUCUGAGGCUCCGUGUCCUCAUCUGUGAGACGGGGAUCAGCCCUUCGGCUCGGCGACCUCAUGCCUGCAAGAGUCCGCUCCACAGGCCUGUCCAAAUACGCGACUGUGGGGCCGAAGGCCCUGGUCUGUAAGCAACGGGGAUGCGUUCGCAGGAUGGAGGCUGCUGAGAAAACACGUUGUACCUAGAAAAAGUUGGCCUCGAGGGCCUGGGAGAUGGAGUCCAGACCCACUUCCUGUCCUGAGUGGGUCCCUUGCAUCCUCUGCUCCUGAUGGUCACAGCUUUCAAAUAAAAAGACU